GGGCCUGUAGCUCAGUGGUAGAGCGCCCGCUUUGCAUGCGGGAGGUCCAGGAUUCGAUCUCCUGCCGGUCCA
Coniosporium apollinis CBS 100218 is the source of this 72-nucleotide transfer RNA. It matches the Rfam family "tRNA". From Rfam's summary of the family: Transfer RNA (tRNA) molecules are approximately 80 nucleotides in length. Their secondary structure includes four short double-helical elements and three loops (D, anti-codon, and T loops). The record is from Rfam. NCBI's taxonomy places the organism in Eukaryota, Fungi, Ascomycota, Dothideomycetes.